UACGUAGGCAGCGAGCGUUGUUCGGAGUUACUGGGCGUAAAGAGUGCGUAGGCGGCUUUGUAAGUUAGAGGUGAAAGCCUGGAGCUCAACUCCAGAAUUGCCUUUAAGACUGCAUCGCUUGAAUCCGGGAGAGGUGAGUGGAAUUCCGAGUGUAGAGGUGAAAUUCGUAGAUAUUCGGAAGAACACCAGUGGCGAAGGCGGCUCACUGGACCGGUAUUGACGCUGAGGUGCGAAAGCGUGGGGAGCAAACAGG
This 253-nucleotide ribosomal RNA is filed under the name uncultured bacterium. RNAcentral's name for it is "partial 16S ribosomal RNA". It matches the Rfam family "Bacterial small subunit ribosomal RNA", at positions 524 to 776 of the family's 1533-position model. The record is from RNAcentral.